Dromaius novaehollandiae (emu) is the source of this 372-nucleotide long non-coding RNA. Lineage: Eukaryota; Metazoa; Chordata; Aves; Casuariiformes; Dromaiidae. The record is from Ensembl.
ACAGAGAAUAGAAGCACUUAGGACAACAGGCCAAAUCUCAGAGAGGAUCAUUGCCGGAGGGCUCGGCCAGCCUUGAAGGUCUCUGGAGACCCCCUGGGUGCUCGCGCUGUGCACGAGUCCUCUGUGCCUGGAGCUGCUGUGGGCCAGGCUGAGCCAUGACCUCCCUCCCAGCACGUCGCGUCGGCACCCUGCGCCCAUCCCAGCUGUGGCCUCCGCUGCGCUUGGGGCCAGUCACCUGCUGACCCAAAGCCAGGCCUGCAGCUGGCAGCCCUUGGCGCUGCUCAGCAAGGAGAGGCCGGCAUCSCUGCCCGGAGCGAGUCCUGCUGAACUGCACCUCCCUCGCUGCUGUUUGCCCUUGCAAAGGAUUUUUCA